Cherax quadricarinatus is the source of this 2064-nucleotide non-coding RNA. The record is from RefSeq and is a predicted model, not a curated record. NCBI's taxonomy places the organism in Eukaryota, Metazoa, Arthropoda, Malacostraca, Decapoda, Parastacidae.
AUUCUUGGCGUGGGAGUGUUACUGAAGAUUGGAUGGCGUCCCAACAGUGUUGAAGAUCUGGAUGGACCAUAUCCACAUGGUUCCUCACAGAGGUAAAUCUACGACCAUACCGUUCAUACCAGUGAAGGAACUGUUCACUUCUCACUUCUACCUCACCUACGAAGGUUCCCUCACAGAGCCGCCUUGUGAGGAGACAGUCACCUGGGUUAUACUCAAUAAACCUGGCUAUAUCACUGCCGAUCAGCUGUGGCAGCUGCAGUCACUACGUAGAGGUACACAUGGUCAAGCACUUCCCAUCAGUGGUAACUUCAGGCCACUUCAGCCCUUACACAGCAGGGCCAUAAGGACGAAUAUUCCACCGUAUACUUUGAGCUGUUCUGCUGUAAACAGAACCAAUCUAUAUCAAGCUGUGGACUUGACGGGUACGUGACGGACAGGUUCGACGGUUAUUUACCAUCCGACUCACUCCUCCGUCACACACAAAAGAGAUGGCGCUGCAGGAGGCCUCCCGUCCAGGCGUGCUACAUUAGUAUCCCCUUAAACUGUUCACCCGUUAGUAACAGAUACCUCCAUUUUUACCCCUAUGAUGGGCAAAAAUGGGAGAUUUAGUGACAUCCCAUUUAUUUCUUGGGUAACUUGGUCUCAGCUUCCUGCCCUGAUAAUCAGGCCUAUCCCCUGACACCUUCCCCUGACACCUUCCCCUGACACCUUUCCCUAGACACCUCAUCCUCCUCUUCCUCUGUCUUUCCCUACCUCAGUAACCCCAUUGGAGAGACUAACCCAUUUGUGCCUCAUUAUCCAUACCCCUUGUUCCACCUCCUACAGUUCCAAAACACUAAACCCGGCUUGUUCCAUCCCACCUCCUUGAGUACCAAAGACAAAAGUCAUCUGUUCCAUAUCGACGCCCCGAGUCCCAAGCAGACAUUCUGUCCCAUUGUCCCAUCAUUGUGGACCCAUUUCCACUCAGCAGACAUUCCAAGUCAUCCUCUUGUGAAUCCAGCUCUCACUUGUUCCUUGUACCAUGGAGCAAUUCACAACUAACCCACAAUACCACGGCUGGAACAAUUUACAACCCACAAUACCAUGGCUGGAACAAUUCACAACUAAUCCACAAUACCAUAGCUGGAACAAUAUACAACCCACAAUACCAUGGCUGGAACAAUUCACAACUAAUCCACAACCUUCAGUAAUUUACCUAACAUUCUCCUUACCUAAUUUACCCUUGAUGACUCUAAUUACCUAACGUCAUCUAAUUAGCGUCUCCUAAUGACCUACCUAUCAAUAGGCCUGCUUUAUCUCAGCCUACUCGCUGUUAGCCUGCCUAGCAGUUAACUUUACCCUAAUGUACUUGUGUCUAUCCUCUCCUACCUUAAUCUAGAGACUAUCCUCUAGUGUUUUUCUAGCCAAGACUAGCCACCAGUCUCACAUUUCUACCGUGUAUACUAUCCUAUCCUUUGACUGUCCUACAUAUUCCAGCUAUCCAGUAGGCAAUGUUACAUACGCCCUGCGUGUUCUGUCUACCCAGUAGACUUUUAAAUGCCCCUACCCACUCUUUCUAUCCAAUAGAUCUUGUUAAAGCCAAUUUAUUCACUCCAUCUAUCCAGUAGAUCUUCUUAAAACCACUCAAUCUACUCCAUCUAUCCAAUAGAUUUUGUUAAAGCCACUCUGUCCACUUUAUCUAUCCAAUAGAUCUCGUUAAACCCACUCUACCCACUUUAUCUAAUAAACCUUCUUAAACCCAAGCUACUCUCAAAAUCUAUCUAACAGUUAUUAAACUCAGUGGAUUUUGUUAAACCUAAUCUAUCUAACUUUCCUAUCCGGUAAAUCUCAUUAAACCCACCCUGCCCACUCAGUCUAUUAAGUGGGCCUUGUUCAACUAUCCUUACCCUGUUAAACCAUGCCUACCAAGAAGUACCUGUUUACCUUUCCCUUGCCUAUCCAUUCCCUUUUUAUCCAUCCCAGCCAUCCCUUAACCGCUCUAUCCCUCCCCCCCCAUCUAUUCUCUAUCCUCCUAAACUAAAAAACGUAAAUAGACUUAUUGCCAUUUUUAAAGCGUUUCACUAU